Molecule: long non-coding RNA, 386 nt
Filed under: Elaeis guineensis (African oil palm)
Lineage: Eukaryota; Viridiplantae; Streptophyta; Magnoliopsida; Arecales; Arecaceae
Description: long non-coding RNA (EGUI_LNC021413)
Source: RNAcentral
CUGAUUUAUGUCACAAAUUGACAUAAAAAGUAUCAAUUAAUAUCUAAAUUAUCUAACUUUAUUAAGAAAUUGAUACUUGUUAUUAUAUUUUGCAGAAGAAGAGAUCAUCAAUAGAAAGAACAAGGAAAGAGAAUUCCAACGGCGCAAAUUUUAUGCAAAACGGAGUUAAAUUGACCCAGAAAUUGAAGAAUGAAGAAAGAAGACUCAAUUGGGUCAAACCCGAGUCAAAUCAGAUCAAAAUUGGUCAAAAAUCAACUGAUUUGGUGAUCUGGUUAGCCUCCUGGUCCACAGCAACAGGCGCAUGGAUCAUGGACCCAUCGGCGCACCAUAAACCCUCUAAAACCUCUUAGUCCCACAUCGGAAGUUUUGAAAACCUUAUAACCNNN